RNAcentral lists this non-coding RNA (29 nucleotides) under Mus musculus (house mouse). Lineage: Eukaryota; Metazoa; Chordata; Mammalia; Rodentia; Muridae. The record is from RNAcentral.
UUGGAUUUCGGGAGAACGUAGUUAAGGAA